GCCAGGCACAGUGGAGCACGCCUGUAAUCCCAGCAGCUUGGGAGGCUGAGACAAGAGGAUCGCAGGUUCAAGGCAGCCUCAGCAAUGGCGAAGCACUAAGCAGCUCAAUGAGACCCUGUCUCUA
RNAcentral lists this small RNA (124 nucleotides) under Marmota monax (woodchuck). The record is from RNAcentral. Lineage: Eukaryota; Metazoa; Chordata; Mammalia; Rodentia; Sciuridae.